GAAAAUGUGGCGUUAACUGGAAAUUUGGACUAGACCAAUGCUUCUCAAAGAGCGUGCCACCCGCAGCAGAAUCAGGCUCUGAUCUAACACAAGCCUUGUCCAGCCUCAUCUUGAGUUUUCAGUUGAGGAAACGGAGGCUCAAAUGCUCAAGUCAAUUUCCCAGGGACAUGGGCUGGUGAUAUGCCUGUUCAUAUCCUCUGCCUGUUUUUAGAGAAAAGGAGUCCAAAAUGG
Molecule: long non-coding RNA, 231 nt
Organism: Cercocebus atys (sooty mangabey)
Lineage: Eukaryota; Metazoa; Chordata; Mammalia; Primates; Cercopithecidae
Exons: 4
Source: RefSeq, a predicted model, not a curated record